GACGAACGCUGGCGGCGUGCUUAACACAUGCAAGUCGAACGGUGAAGCGCCUUCCUUUUUGGUGGGUGUGGAUGAGUGGCGAACGGGUGAGUAACACGUGAGUAACCUGCCCCCUCUUCUGGAUAACCGCAUGAAAGUGUGGCUAAUACGGGAUAUUCUGGGUCUGUCGCAUGAUGGGUCUGGGAAAGAUAUUGUUUCGGUGGGGGAUGGGCUCGCGGCCUAUCAGCUUGUUGGUGGGGUGAUGGCCUACCAAGGCGGUGACGGGUAGCCGGCCUGAGAGGGUGGACGGCCACACUGGGACUGAGACACGGCCCAGACUCCUACGGGAGGCAGCAGUGGGGAAUAUUGCACAAUGGGCGCAAGCCUGAUGCAGCGACGCCGCGUGAGGGAUGGAGGCCUUCGGGUUGUGAACCUCUUUCGCCAGUGAAGCAGGCCUGCCUCGUUUGUGGGUGGGUUGACGGUAGCUGGAUGAGAAGCGCCGGCUAACUACGUG
Molecule: ribosomal RNA, 493 nt
Filed under: uncultured bacterium
Lineage: Bacteria
Description: partial 16S ribosomal RNA
Rfam family: Bacterial small subunit ribosomal RNA
Source: RNAcentral